GCGGCGGAGGUGUCGAGGAGCCUGGGCGUGCUCUAGCCGCGUCGGUGGAGCGGCGGGCCGGCGCGAUCGCGUCGCGCCGACCGCGC
Molecule: transfer RNA, 86 nt
Filed under: Burkholderiales bacterium
Lineage: Bacteria; Pseudomonadati; Pseudomonadota; Betaproteobacteria; Burkholderiales
Description: tRNA-Pyl
Source: RNAcentral